CCUACGGGUGGCAGCAGUGAGGAAUAUUGGUCAAUGGUCGGGAGACUGAACCAGCCAAGCCGCGUGAGGGAUGAAGGUCCAGAGUAUCGUAACCCUCUUUUGUCAGGGAACAAAGGCGGGGACGUGUCCACGGAUGAGUGUACCUGAAGAAAAAGCAUCGGCUAACUCCGUGCCCGCAGCCUCGGUAAUAGGGAGGAUGCGAGCGUUAUCCGGAUUUAUUGGGUUUAAAGGGUGCGCGGGCGGUCUGUUAAGUCAGCGGUAAAAGCCAGGGGCUCAACCCCGGCCCGCCGUUGAAACUGGCAGUCUCGAGUUGGAGAGAAGUAUGCGGAAUGCGCGGUGUAGCGGUGAAAUGCAUAGAUAUCGCGCAGAACUCCGAUUGCGAAGGCAGCAUGCCGGCUCCACACUGACGCUGAGGCACGAAAGCGUGGGUAUCGAACAGGAUUAGAUACCCUUGUAGUC
This 459-nucleotide ribosomal RNA is filed under the name uncultured bacterium. RNAcentral describes it as "partial 16S ribosomal RNA". It matches the Rfam family "Bacterial small subunit ribosomal RNA", at positions 338 to 795 of the family's 1533-position model. The record is from RNAcentral.